RNAcentral lists this ribosomal RNA (484 nucleotides) under uncultured bacterium. RNAcentral describes it as "partial 16S ribosomal RNA". It matches the Rfam family "Bacterial small subunit ribosomal RNA", at positions 29 to 507 of the family's 1533-position model. The record is from RNAcentral.
AUUGAACGCUGGCGGCAUGCUUUACACAUGCAAGUCGAACGGCAGCGCGGGCUUCGGCCUGGCGGCGAGUGGCGAACGGGUGAGUAAUACAUCGGAACGUGCCCAGUCGUGGGGGAUAGCUCGGCGAAAGCCGGAUUAAUACCGCAUACGACCUGAGGGUGAAAGCGGGGGAUCUUCGGACCUCGCGCUAUUGGAGCGGCCGAUGGCAGAUUAGCUAGUUGGUGGGGUAAAGGCCUACCAAGGCGACGAUCUGUAGCUGGUCUGAGAGGACGACCAGCCACACUGGGACUGAGACACGGCCCAGACUCCUACGGGAGGCAGCAGUGGGGAAGUUUGGACAAUGGGCGAAAGCCUGAUCCAGCAAUGCCGCGUGUGUGAUGAAGGCCUUCGGGUUGGAAAGCACUUUUGGCGGGAACGAAAAGGACUGUGCCAAUACCACGGUUCGAUGACGGUACCCGCAGAAUAAGCACCGGCUAACUACGUG